GAUGAACGCUGGCGGCGUGCUUAACACAUGCAAGUCGAACGAUGAAGCCCAGCUUGCUGGGUGGAUUAGUGGCGAACGGGUGAGUAACACGUGAGUAACCUGCCCUUAACUCUGGGAUAAGCCUGGGAAACUGGGUCUAAUACCGGAUAGGAGCGUCCACCGCAUGGUGGGUGUUGGAAAGAUUUAUCGGUUUUGGAUGGACUCGCGGCCUAUCAGCUUGUUGGUGAGGGAAUGGCUCACCAAGGCGACGACGGGUAGCCGGCCUGAGAGGGUGACCGGCCACACUGGGACUGAGACACGGCCCAGACUCCUACGGGAGGCAGCAGUGGGGGAUAUUGCACAAUGGGCGCAAGCCUGAUGCAGCGACGCCGCGUGAGGGAUGACGGCCUUCGGGUUGUAACCCUCUUUCAGUAGGGAAGAAGCGAAAGUGACGGUACCUGCAGAAGAAGCACCGGCUAACUACGUG
RNAcentral lists this ribosomal RNA (466 nucleotides) under uncultured bacterium. Its description in RNAcentral is "partial 16S ribosomal RNA". It matches the Rfam family "Bacterial small subunit ribosomal RNA", at positions 28 to 507 of the family's 1533-position model. The record is from RNAcentral.